UAUAAGUUCCUUUCCCUUGACUGCAGAUAGUCCCUUCCUUGCCUCAGCUGCCUCAGUUGAUUAAGUAGGAUAAAGAAAUGAAUCAUCAAAACAGAAGAACAGAAACUGCUUCCCAAGUGUUCUGAAUAGUGGAAAGGAGAAGGAAUCACAAUGAAGCAAGCAAACAUAACUAAGUAUAAUGAAAUGAACCACACGGCCGGUCUACUCUAGAUUCAUCCCUAGACUUCUAUAUCCUUUCUCUAAUUAUGCUUCCCAGGUAUAUCAAUAAUUGAGUUUGAUGUGACUGACAUUCUGGAAAAAAUGUAACAAGAUACCACAAGACUUUACAGGGUUUUUAAAAAAUAUUAACAUUUAGCAUCUCUUGAGAAUCUACUGGUCCAAUACAUGAUUCUUCUGACUUCCUGGGGAAUCUCUCAUCACUGAAAUCAGCUGGUAGGAAUGUCUCACUCAUUGCAGUCAGCUGGUUGGGAACAUUAAUUUCUCGACAGUCACCUGGUGGGUUUUUGAGAGUCUGGGCCGUUUAGGAUGCUUCCAGCUGGAAUGGUGUAGACUCUCUCUAUCUCUGAUCAUUCAUUGCAAAAGGCUAAUAUGGAUAUGUUCUCCGCCUGCAAAGUAACCAGGGCACAAAGGUCUGGACUUGGAGCAUAUUUCCUGGCACAUGCUUGAUUGGGGAACCACUCUGUAAUCCAGAUUCAUCAUGAGAAGAGAACAUAAAGUUACAAAAUAUGAAGACUUCAAGGAUUACCAUAAUAUGGACCAUGAAUUCAACAAGAGAAGCUAUGUUUAAGAAUGCCAUGUGUAGAAAACAUUACCUUGAGCUCUUGGUCAGAGAUCUCGUGAAGACUUCCAGAAUGCAGGCCGCUGUCAUUAUCCUUGGAUACCUGCCAGAACCUGAUGGUCGUUAACCUACUUCUAGAUACCAUAUACAUUGGCUGCAGGACAUGGAAAAGUCAGAGAAAUCUGUGUCAGAGACCUGAGGACCUGAGAGGACAGCAUCAGUUCAAAAUCUGGGAACUGUCCCAAGCUUGUGUGUUAGGAUGCAAAUUAAUUUGAGCCUUGUUUCCCCUGUUCUUGCCACUGGGAGCACAUUGGGUGGGAAGGUUAAUUCAGUGCAGCCUUAUCUCCCAUGGGCACUGCUGGGGAGCCUUGGAAUCAUUUUGUUUCUCAUCUCUGAAAAUGGAAUGUGCUUUGCCACACUGAUGAGAAGGGGAAAAAAGAGGUCGAUCUGGAAAGAUUAGGAUGCCUACCAAGGCUCCCUGAGCUGUGAGGGGUUAUUAAGAAUCCUGGAAGUAAGAGGCUACAGUUAGUUUUAGUUCUGAGUAGACAUGGUCUGUAUGGAUUUCUGUGCAGCUGUAGGAUAUUGUUGAAGCCCCCUUCCAUGACUACUAUUUCCAAAGAGAGAAUAUCCACACAUGAGCAUAUAUGUGAUACCGGAGACCACCAAGAUGCAGUUCAGUCAAAAGGAAAUAAAAUGCAUACACUGUUCAAGCA
Mastomys coucha (southern multimammate mouse) is the source of this 1491-nucleotide long non-coding RNA. RefSeq lists it as uncharacterized. The transcript is spliced from 4 exons. The record is from RefSeq and is a predicted model, not a curated record. NCBI's taxonomy places the organism in Eukaryota, Metazoa, Chordata, Mammalia, Rodentia, Muridae.